Long non-coding RNA from Lineus longissimus, 1094 nucleotides. RefSeq lists it as uncharacterized. NCBI's taxonomy places the organism in Eukaryota, Metazoa, Nemertea, Pilidiophora, Heteronemertea, Lineidae. The transcript is spliced from 3 exons. The record is from RefSeq and is a predicted model, not a curated record.
UCGGAUCAUUACCUGCAUUCUCAACAUUAAUAGUCACCAUUGGUUCCAAAUUGAAUACCAGUCCGACUAUUACUCAUAUCAGUUGUCUGGUUCCUUCCUGAGCAGGUCUGUUACCAAAAAACAAAGGACCAAGGCUUGGAGAUGUUGCUGAUAAGCUCAAUAACCCUCUUGUGUCUCGUCGUGUCAGUGGCCACUGCUAAAUCCAAAGACUGUUAUGAGCGAGGGAUAAACACCUACACUCAUGUGGGCAAGGCGAUCGUCAACAUCCCCUUGGAGAAGAAGAAUGGCGAACUGCCAUAUGGCAUCCGCGUCAGUGUAGACGAAGUCUUCAACGGUGCUUACCGCGUCUCAGCCAUCAUGAAGUCUGGUCGCACGCUGUCAGAGGCCACCUACGCCACGAAGGGUGAGAUGCAAUUUGACCCGAGAUUAGCCCCGUUCAGUAGUAUCAGAAUCAAGUUUGUCCCGGGCAAGCCACCGGGCCUGAUCGUCCGUAGGGACCAGAAACCCAUGAUUCGGAUCCGUUUAUUUGGAUGUUAUAAAGAUUAAACUUGUGUUCAUGUAGUGCUCAUGAAAUUCGGGAGAUGCGCUCUCGUCUGGUUCUUCAAUCGACGUAUUUCUCCAUUUCUUGGCGAUGAUUGAUAAUGCAGUUCUGAAAGAAAACCAAACAGCACCUUCAUCUGAUGGGGUGCUGGACGACAGAACUUUUUUCAAUGUGAUUUAUGAGAACAGGAGGAACACGAUGAAAUGAAGGUAGUCCGGAACAUUACCGAGAAGUCUCUUCGACAUGUUGGGAGUGUUUUGUACUGCAUAACGACAUAACUAUCUGUUAUUUCUAGAGGCUAUAUUGUAUAUAUACGUGUAUAAUCAAUGGUUACUGAAUAUACUCUCUUCGUUAAUUGCAUGCCCACACUCACACAUACACUCAGAAUAAGGCAUGGAACAUGCUAAUGACCAUGCCAUUAGUGAAGCAAUGGAUUAUAUUGGAAUGUACAGAAGUUAUUGAAGAGUCGCCAACCAACUUCAUGACCACCGCUAUAUCUGUGUUUUGUCCUAUCGUUUCGCUGAUUUACCUAGUGAUUUUGUCCAUGCACAGU